UGGGGAAUAUUGCACAAUGGGCGCAAGCCUGAUGCAGCCAUGCCGCGUGUGUGAAGAAGGCCUUCGGGUUGUAAAGCACUUUCAGCGGGGAGGAAGGCGAUAAGGUUAAUAACCUCAUCGAUUGACGUUACCCGCAGAAGAAGCACCGGCUAACUCCGUGCCAGCAGCCGCGGUAAUACGGAGGGUGCAAGCGUUAAUCGGAAUUACUGGGCGUAAAGCGCACGCAGGCGGUUGAUUGAGUCAGAUGUGAAAUCCCCGGGCUUAACCCGGGAAUUGCAUCUGAUACUGGUCAGCUAGAGUAUUGUAGAGGGGGGUAGAAUUCCAUGUGUAGCGGUGAAAUGCGUAGAGAUGUGGAGGAAUACCGGUGGCGAAGGCGGCCCCCUGGACAAAGACUGACGCUCAGGUGCGAAAGCGUGGGGAGCAAACAGG
This 429-nucleotide ribosomal RNA is filed under the name Chloroflexota bacterium. RNAcentral describes it as "Chloroflexi bacterium partial 16S ribosomal RNA". It matches the Rfam family "Bacterial small subunit ribosomal RNA", at positions 355 to 776 of the family's 1533-position model. Lineage: Bacteria; Bacillati; Chloroflexota. The record is from RNAcentral.